GGCUAGCCUUUCAUGCUUUUGCUUACACCAGAAAUACAGAAAACACAACACGUUUUGCCUUUUCUUUCUUCUUAUUAGAAAAAUAAAAUCUCCUUUAAAUCUCUCUGUCUCUCACUUUCUCUCUCUCUGUUUGUCAAUGUCAAACGGAGAUGACUGUUAACCGUAACGGAAUGCAAUGACAGAAGUUUGCCGAAGAAAGUCCAACGACAAUGAAGACGAUUCGGCGGCGAAAUGCAGGGAGCGCCGAAGAAGGAGAAUCGAGAUGAGGCGUCUCGCCGCUAUCUCAACCACUCGUGGUUCUCCUCAGCCGACUUACGCAAAAGGUUCAAAAGAGAAGAGCCAGGCGACGGGGGAGGGGAGCUCGAGUUCAACCGCUGAGGGAAAGCGGAUUGUUGAGACUGUGAGUGAAAUUCAGACGGUGGAGCCGGUGUUUGGGAGCAUGUCAGUGUCAGGGAGGUCACGUGAGAUGGAAGAUGCGAUUUCUGUUCGUACUAGCUUUUGCCUGCCGGGGAUUAACCGCCGAAGGCCGUUGCAUUUGUUUGGUGUUUAUGACGGUCAUGGCGGUUAUCACGUGGCAGCGUUAUGCAGGGAAAAGAUGCACGUGUUAAUAGAGGAAGAAUUGGAACGCGUGGAAUCAACGUGCGGGAGUGGUGAGAGUGGGGAAUUUGGGGCGGAAUGGGAGGAAAUGUGGAGGGGAGUGAUGAAGAGAAGCUACGAGAGAAUGGAUGAGGUGGCACUGAGCACGUGCGCAUGUGGGAGUGAGGGUUUCCAAUGUGAGUGCCGCCCUACCCAGAUGAUACUUGGUGGCUCCACAGCGGUGGUGGCUGUGUUAACCCCGGAGCAUAUAAUUGUUGCUAAUUGCGGUGACUCACGCGCCGUGCUUUCACGAGGUGGAAGGGCCAUUCCCCUUAGUGUUGAUCAUAAGCCGGAUAGGCAAGAUGAACUCGCAAGAAUUGAAGCUGCUGGAGGUCGAGUGAUCUACCUGGAUGGAGCUCGAGUUGAAGGCAUUCUCGCUAUGUCUCGAGCAAUAGGGGACGAGUAUUUAAAGCCAUUUGUGAUACCGGAGCCUGAGAUUACUUUUACAAAAAGAGAAUCAGUAGAUGACUGCUUGCUCCUUGCAAGUGAUGGCUUAUGGGAUGUUUUGUCUGGUGACUUGGCUUGUAAGGUAGCUCGGCAGUGCCUCCGAGAAGAAAAUCCUCCUCCUGUCAAUGCUGGCCCUCAGAUCAAAGAUGAAGGAGCUGGAGCUCUAUAUCCAUCUCGAAGCAUGUUGGCCGCCGCACUUCUUACUCGCCUUGCUUUAGGACGGAGAAGCUGUGAUAACAUCAGUGUUAUUGUUGUUGAUCUCAAAAGUAGCUGAGCUUCAGUUUGUCAGGAUGGCCUAGGAGGGGAUCCAUCAUCGUUUUAGCAGUGUCGUUCCAGUUUUGGUUGCAUCAGUUUUACUCAAGUUGGCCAUCUAAUUCGUAGCUCGCAAACUAUCUUUAUUAAUUCCUAGUUGGUACCUAGCCAAGAUGAGCUGAGCUUUCUCUGUGAAGUUCAACAUCUUUUGAUUCUGUUCUUCUGCGGGGGCCUCAAGGCUGCCUUCUUCUCUCCUGGUAUGAACUCACGACACCCAUCUCUUGCUGAAGUGACACUGUGGCUGUGGCCAUUUCCACCUGCAUAACUACCAUUUCUUGAGAUUUGCAUGUCCUUUUGGAGGCUAGAGUCAUUCAUCUUUUAUUUAUUUUUUUGGUGCUCCUUCCAGCCAACGCAAUUGAGUGGAAAGUCUACUCUUUUAUGGGAUUUUAGGACUUUGGCAGUUAGUCUCUGUCUCUGAGGAUUUAAUGGGGCUGUGUUGUUUGACUUGAGAGAGAAGGAGGACAUCUGUGAUUAAAUUUAGUGACAUGUCCCGCUUUCUAAGAAAAACAUGUUGAGUUGCCGUGUUCUUAAAACACCAUAUUUAUUAAAUAGUAUUUUUCUAAAACAUCAAGCUGGAAAUAUACUAUUUCAUCAAAAAAAAAAAAUUAUAUUAUUCUAUCAAAUUUUUUUAAAUUAGUGUGCUGAUUUUUUUUUUAAAAAAAAAUCCACAGCUAAGUCCACCUACUUAUUACCAGAAAUAAAACUCAUGGCCCAACCUAACAGCUCGUUGUCUAAGAAAUUCAGGAAAUCCUCUUUGACCACAGGAAUUGUGGAAGAACUCAAAUAAAACAAAUUUCCAAGCUCAUGGGUGUGUACAUCUAAAGUAGAAUUUAUUAUACCAUUUGUCUGUACACUUUCAGAGUGGGGGACUCUGUACACUACUUUUCUUUCUCUCCUGUUAACUACAGCUGUACGAUGGACCAGACUUUUCCUUUAUUGAAGAAACUAAUUAAAUUCUUGGCUUUGAGAUCAUGUGAGCAGGAAAAUGUUGGUUCUGAAGCUUGACUAAAGCUCUGUGUUCUUUUAGCUCCUCAAUGGUGUGAAGAAUCAAUAUUGUUUUCUUUUGGAGUCGCCCGCGGGGAGAAGUUACACAAGGUGGUUUAGCACGUGAGCAGAGUAUUUUGCAGCUUACAAUCCCACCGGUCUCCACGUGAUCUACAACUUUAAUUCAAUUGAUACGUCAUCCUCUUCUUUUUUUCCUUUUUCUUUUUUGGGUUAAGUAUAUAAUUGCCACAAUAGAUUUACUAAUGUUCCAUUUCUAUACUUAUUGUUUACAGUUUUUCAA
Molecule: RNA transcript, 2680 nt
Organism: Populus trichocarpa (black cottonwood)
Lineage: Eukaryota; Viridiplantae; Streptophyta; Magnoliopsida; Malpighiales; Salicaceae
Gene name: probable protein phosphatase 2C 75
Exons: 7
Source: RefSeq, a predicted model, not a curated record